Molecule: ribosomal RNA, 460 nt
Filed under: uncultured bacterium
Lineage: Bacteria
Description: partial 16S ribosomal RNA
Rfam family: Bacterial small subunit ribosomal RNA
Source: RNAcentral
CCUACGGGAGGCAGCAGUGAGGAAUAUUGGUCAAUGGACGAGAGUCUGAACCAGCCAAGUAGCGUGAAGGAUGACUGCCCUAUGGGUUGUAAACUUCUUUUAUAAAGGAAUAAAACGAGGCACGUGUGCCUUUUUGCAUGUACUUUAUGAAUAAGGAUCGGCUAACUCCGUGCCAGCAGCCGCGGUAAUACGGAGGAUCCGAGCGUUAUCCGGAUUUAUUGGGUUUAAAGGGAGCGUAGAUGGGUUGUUAAGUCAGUUGUGAAAGUUUGCGGCUCAACCGUAAAAUUGCAAGUGAUACUGGCAGUCUAGAGUACAGUUGAGGUAGGCGGAAUUCGUGGUGUAGCGGUGAAAUGCUUAGAUAUCACGAAGAACCCCGAUUGCGAAGGCAGCUUACUAAACUGUGACUGACAUUGAUGCUCGAAAGUGUGGGUAUCAAACAGGAUUAGAUACCCCUGUAGUC